GUGAUCGCUUCAGCAGUACAUAUACCAAAAUUAGAAUGAUAGAAGAUUAGCAUGGCUUCUGCACAAGGGUGAUAAGAAAAUUCAUGAAACAUUCCAUAUUUAA
Small nuclear RNA from Suncus etruscus (white-toothed pygmy shrew), 103 nucleotides. NCBI's taxonomy places the organism in Eukaryota, Metazoa, Chordata, Mammalia, Eulipotyphla, Soricidae. The record is from RefSeq and is a predicted model, not a curated record.